GAGCAGGAUAUAUUUUAUACAAGAUCUGCUCCAAAUCUCCUUAAACUUUAAUGAAAAAAAGGAACUCAUGCGCAUACUACUGCUGCAAGCUGGUAGAGUAUUCUUAGAGUUUCUGGAAGUUUAGGGUUGAAUCAUUUGUUUCUUUCAAUUCAUUGCUGCAUUCUAUUUCCAGCGACGGUUGUGGUCUUGGUAGAGCUGGAGACCUUGGAGCCUGUUAUCUGAGAAAUAACGUGCAGAAGAGAACUUCACCCUGCCCCACUUCAGCUGCUCUCACCUCCAUAACAGCAUCUUCCUCACUAAGGGAUCCAGCAGAUCGACUCCCUCGUAUGAAAUGCUGCGUGUGCUACACACCAAAGGCUCAGAGGGUUGUGCUGUGGCUUUUCUUGCAGACUCUGCUCUUCUCAAACUGUUUAAUGGGACCCAAAUAGAACAACGCAUCCCGCUAUUACUUCAGGGAUGGGGCAAUGGGCCUCCCUGGGAGGAUACGCACCUAGAGAGACUCACUGCAUCAGAAGGACCUGGAUGACACCAGCAACAUCACGGCACCACUGGAAUCAACAUGGUGUAAGACUCCUUCUGCUUUCCAGCUCCUACUGAAAUGCUCGCUAAAGGGUAGGGUGCUAAAACCAAAUGUGGUGGUUAUUCGCAUUUCUUACAGCUGAGUGCAGUUCAAAGAUUCUAGCAGAUCAAAUGGCCUGCUGUAAAGAACUGUACAAUGUUUCUAACAGCUGAACAGCUCAGAGCAUCCCUUUACUUUAGCUAGCAGUACCACGCUGUGAGAUUUCGUGUCUAUGCAGUACAUUAAUAGGAAGUGACUUGCAGUAUUCCCACCUGACCCACUUGACCCUUUCUAACCCAUGACAAGCUGUCACCAAUGAGACAUGCCUGCAAACAGACCCAGCAUCCACCCUCAGGUUUGCUGGCAAAUACCCUUGCAACAAGCCAAUCGUCUUGCAUACUCUAAAUAAUAAAUAAUAAGGAGUGUAAAGGCCA
Molecule: long non-coding RNA, 993 nt
Filed under: Numida meleagris (helmeted guineafowl)
Lineage: Eukaryota; Metazoa; Chordata; Aves; Galliformes; Numididae
Description: lncRNA (ENSNMEG00000014048.1)
Source: RNAcentral